UACGUAGGGUGCGAGCGUUGUCCGGAAUUACUGGGCAUAAAGAGCUCGUAGGUGGUUUGUCGCGUUGUCCGUGAAAACUCACAACUCAAUUGUGGGCGUGCGGGCGAUACGGGCAGACUGGAGUACUGCAGGGGAGACUGGAAUUCCUGGUGUAGCGGUGGAAUGCGCAGAUAUCAGGAGGAACACCGGUGGCGAAGGCGGGUCUCUGGGCAGUAACUGACGCUGAGGAGCGAAAGCGUGGGGAGCGAACAGG
This 253-nucleotide ribosomal RNA is filed under the name uncultured bacterium. Its description in RNAcentral is "partial 16S ribosomal RNA". It matches the Rfam family "Bacterial small subunit ribosomal RNA", at positions 524 to 776 of the family's 1533-position model. The record is from RNAcentral.